CAAAGUCGAGGGGUAUGGGUUGCUUGCAACCCAGAGACCGGCGCACGGGUGCGUAACGCGUAUGCAACCUACCUUGAUCAGGGGGAUAGCCCGGAGAAAUCCGGAUUAACACCGCAUAACAUUGUGAUAUGGCAUCAUAUUAUAAUCAAAUAUUUAUAGGAUCGAGAUGGGCAUGCGUGACAUUAGUUAGUUGGUGAGGUAACGGCUCACCAAGACUUCGAUGUCUAGGGGAUCUGAGAGGAUGACCCCCCACACUGGUACUGAGACACGGACCAGACUCCUACGGGAGGCAGCAGUAAGGAAUAUUGGUCAAUGGGCGCAAGCCUGAACCAGCCAUGCCGCGUGCAGGAAGACGGCCCUACGGGUUGUAAACUGCUUUUGUACCGGAAUAAACCUGCUCUCGUGAGAGCAGCUGAACGUACGGUAAGAAUAAGGAUCGGCUAACUCCGUGCCAGCAGCCGCGGUAAUACGGAGGAUCCAAGCGUUAUCCGGAUUUAUUGGGUUUAAAGGGUGCGUAGGCGGCUUUUUAAGUCAGGGGUGAAAACUUGCGGCUCAACCGUAAGCUUGCCUUUGAUACUGAGGAGCUUGAAUACACUUGAGGUAGGCGGAAUGUGACAAGUAGCGGUGAAAUGCAUAGAUAUGUCACAGAACACCAAUUGCGAAGGCAGCUUACUAAAGUGAGAUUGACGCUGAGGCACGAAAGCGUGGGGAUCAAACAGGAUUAGAUACCCUGGUAGUCCACGCCCUAAACGAUGAAUACUCGAUGUUAGCGAUAUACA
This 779-nucleotide ribosomal RNA is filed under the name Sphingobacteriaceae bacterium MJ_9_9. RNAcentral's name for it is "bacterial SSU rRNA". It matches the Rfam family "Bacterial small subunit ribosomal RNA", at positions 58 to 835 of the family's 1533-position model. The record is from RNAcentral. Lineage: Bacteria; Pseudomonadati; Bacteroidota; Sphingobacteriia; Sphingobacteriales; Sphingobacteriaceae.